ACGGGUGAGUAACGCGUGGGAACGUGCCUUCCGGUUCGGAAUAACCCUGGGAAACUAGGGCUAAUACCGGAUACGCCCUUAUGGGGAAAGGUUUACUGCCGGAAGAUCGGCCCGCGUCUGAUUAGCUAGUUGGUGGGGUAACGGCCUACCAAGGCGACGAUCAGUAGCUGGUCUGAGAGGAUGAUCAGCCACACUGGGACUGAGACACGGCCCAGACUCCUACGGGAGGCGGCAGUGGGGAAUAUUGGACAAUGGGCGCAAGCCUGAUCCAGCCAUGCCGCGUGAGUGAUGAAGGCCUUAGGGUUGUAAAGCUCUUUUAUCCGGGACGAUAAUGACGGUACCGGAGGAAUAAGCCCCGGCUAACUUCGUGCCAGCAGCCGCGGUAAUACGAAGGGGGCUAGCGUUGCUCGGAAUCACUGGGCGUAAAGGGCGCGUAGGCGGCGUUUUAAGUCGGGGGUGAAAGCCUGUGGCUCAACCACAGAAUGGCCUUCGAUACUGGGACGCUUGAGUAUGGUAGAGGUUGGUGGAACUGCGAGU
RNAcentral lists this ribosomal RNA (537 nucleotides) under uncultured bacterium. Its description in RNAcentral is "bacterial SSU rRNA". It matches the Rfam family "Bacterial small subunit ribosomal RNA", at positions 102 to 674 of the family's 1533-position model. The record is from RNAcentral.